RNAcentral lists this long non-coding RNA (790 nucleotides) under Trifolium pratense (red clover). RNAcentral describes it as "long non-coding RNA (TPRA_LNC004227)". Lineage: Eukaryota; Viridiplantae; Streptophyta; Magnoliopsida; Fabales; Fabaceae. The record is from RNAcentral.
GAAAAUCUAAAAAUCAUGACAACAAUAUGACUUUUUUUAGUAUACAUCCUAAUGUAAGGAUUUUACAUAUUUAAAAAUAAUAUAGUGUCGGGCUUUGUUAGAUUUUUCUUCUACAUAAGAUUCUAGGAUUUGAAAAUAUAGUGUUUUAAUAUUCUAUUUGUUCAAAAGCGUUAUUACUUUGAGUCUAUCUAAACUAGCAACAACAAAUGACAAAAACACGAAACCAGAUUGAAAGAACUCUUUUGCAGAAGUCUUUCUUUCCACCGAUAACUAUAAAAGAUUGAUUUAGAGAGGGUACAUUUCCAUCACAAUAUAAUAUAAUUGAGUUACAAACCUAUUAGUGGAAAACUUAACAGAAACGAGCCUCACAAACAUUUGUCAGNNNNNNNNNNNNNNNNNNNNNNNNNNNNNNNUUGUCAUAGAAUUUUACAUUUGACACUAAUUGUGAGGGCAUAAAUUCCGCCACAAAACUUUUUAUAUUGUUUGUGAAUUUGUGAUAAGAUUUAUUACACUUUACAAGUUAUUUGAAACAUUAGCUUACCUUCCUAGUGCUUGUGUAUCUUUACUUAGUGUACAUCUUAUAUAGAGUAGUCUAGCUUAUAGUUUGUUAGAAGUUUGUUAGCAGUUUGUUAGAACUACCUUCACGUAUAUAAAAGUGCUUGUAACUACUUUACUUAAUCAAUCGAUGAAAAUUGCUUUCGAAGCUUUCAAUAUGCUUCUUCUUCUUCAAUCUUUCUCUGCGUUUUCGGUUAUCUUAAACAACUUCAUGAUGGUAUCAGAGCUCUUCUGA